Long non-coding RNA from Ixodes scapularis (black-legged tick), 288 nucleotides. RefSeq lists it as uncharacterized. The record is from RefSeq and is a predicted model, not a curated record. The transcript has 3 exons. Lineage: Eukaryota; Metazoa; Arthropoda; Arachnida; Ixodida; Ixodidae.
GUUCUUGGAACAGAGGCACGAGACCCAUGUCCCCUCCAUGGUCAUCGGUUGCAGCUUUUGGCACAGUCAACAAGCUGCAAAGAGCAGCAUGAACAAAAUGAACCGGAAAAGAUGUCCAGCCACCAGCAAGCUGACGACUGCGCCACUUCACCAUGCUGUACCACGACGCCAAAUUGUGUGCCAUCGCCAAGCUGUGCCACGACGCCAAGCCACAUCGCUGAUGCACCAGAUGAGCCUCCGAGAUUUUGCUCAACGCUUUCCACCAACCAGAACCAAAUGUCUGACGAC